RNAcentral lists this transfer RNA (81 nucleotides) under Spirochaetia bacterium. RNAcentral describes it as "tRNA-Leu". It matches the Rfam family "tRNA". Rfam says of the family: Transfer RNA (tRNA) molecules are approximately 80 nucleotides in length. Their secondary structure includes four short double-helical elements and three loops (D, anti-codon, and T loops). The record is from RNAcentral. Lineage: Bacteria; Pseudomonadati; Spirochaetota; Spirochaetia.
GCGAGAGUGGUGAAACUGGUAGACACGCCAGACUUAGGAUCUGGUACCUAUGGUAUGAGGGUUCGAGUCCCUCCUCUCGCA